UAUUGCCAGAAAUCCUCGUACAAUCAGGCGAUAGAAAUAGAGAAUGAGAGAAAUAGUGUAGUCUGCCUCUGAAGCCCCGCGGGAGAUGCCAACAAUCGCUGCAAAGCAAGAUACAAUUUUAAUGUUUCCUACUUUGGCAAAUAACCAUAGCUGGACACAAUAGCGAAGGGAAAGAUGUCACAAUAACCAGCAAAUCAUUAUGUGGUGUUUAUACAAGUAUAGUGUCUCAUUAAAAAGAGAUUUUGUAAGAGAUAGUUAACAUAAACAUUUGUACACACCUGCUCCUUUGACAGACACCGCCUGCUACGAAUGGGCCAUGGGGCGGCAGUUGUCUACUAGUCGUGGUGACGGUAAGGGUGGUGGUGCUGGCAGUGGUUAUACUGUCCCAUACACACCCACACCCACACACACACACACACACACACACACUGCCAUGAACACUCAAAAGACAAUCACACACACACACGCGAUGUGUUGCUAUAUCACCGAUAGAUUUCAAGCAGUGCCAAUCACCUAUCACCAUGCGGCAAGACAAGCAGUGCCUUCACCACAAUCUCAACACUGCCUUAUCUUCAUCAAUUAAAGGCUCAGACGUGAAGACGGAAGUAAUAGAAGAAAGAAGAAGGAGAAAUAAAGGAGGAGGACGAAGAAUAAACGAGAAAUAGAGGCGGAAUAGGAGAAGGAGCUAAGAUGUUUGUCGGGUUCCUGAAGAUGCGUCGACGUGUUAUCAUCCACGCAAGCUUCCCCAACCCAGCCAGUGUACCACAGGACGGGAGGAGGAAGCCAGCGGCUGCAUGCACCAUUGAACAGGACGGCAUUGUAUUCCUCCCACAGGAGUGACUACAGCGAAGCAAGCCCAGAAUAAAGUGUUGAGUGACCGUGAUGAUUCAGUACUACUAACACCAAACAAGUGAGGGAAGUGUUCGGAGUGAACGUGCAAGACAUACAACAGACACCAGACUGCUGCCGCUGCUGCUACUGCCGGUGUAGCCAAAGGAACAAAAGGUCCGGAGCAGGAGGAAGAAAUGGGUGAUUCUUGGAAACGCACCAAUGAAGUUGUGAAGAUGUCUCGGGUGUGUCGCCUAGUGCGUUCCCUUGUCCCGCUCGAGAGAGAGAGAGAGAGAGAGAGAGCGAGACUCGGAUCACCACCGCGUCGAGCUGCCUGCCCACCUCCCUCCAUUGUCCUUCCCCUCUCACUUGAGUAUUGUGAACGUUGUAUUUAUUUUCAUCACGCCUCUGUGUUUGUAAAGGGAGAGUGUUCCAAUAAGUGAGCUCUGUUUGCAGUCACAUGUGUAUUUCAAAGGUGUUUUGCCAAGUGCUGUGCUGAGGUGUUGUGGUGUAUCUGUCUGUACGGUGUUCGAGCUAGCUUUCGCCCACUUUUGUGACGCUACCUUCCGUAC
Portunus trituberculatus (swimming crab) is the source of this 1400-nucleotide long non-coding RNA. RefSeq lists it as uncharacterized. The record is from RefSeq and is a predicted model, not a curated record. The transcript has 5 exons. Lineage: Eukaryota; Metazoa; Arthropoda; Malacostraca; Decapoda; Portunidae.